GUCACCCAGGCUGGAGUGCAAUGGUGUGAUCUCAGCUCACUGCAACUUCUGCUUCCUGGGUUCAAGCGAUUCUCCUGCCUCUGCCUCCUGAGUAGCUGGGAUUUCAGGCGUGCACCACCACGGCUGACUAAUUUUUGUAUUUUUAGUAGAGACGAGUUUCACCAUGUUGGCCAAGCUGGUCUCGAAUUCCUGACCUCAUGAUCCACCUGCCUCAGCCUCCCAAAGUGCUGGGAUUACAGGUGUGAGCCACCGUGCCAAGCCUGGAGGUUAACUUUAAUCAGAAGCCAUAAGUGAGAGAGGACAUUUCAAAUUCAGUCAGACAUGACCUUUUCUUCCUGGGUCACUCCCUUGCAGCUACCCGUAUCUUUCUUAGGACACUUCUGGAAUUAUAUAAAAGUAUAGCCAUUUGUGUGCAUGCCUUCUAGGCCACAGGCUUAGUGAAGGUGGGAAUCAUUUGCGUCUAUAUUCUCGACAAUGACCAGCCUAGUUCUUUACGCUUUGGAAAUGUCCAAUGCAUGUUUGCUGAAUGAAUCGAUGAGGCAUGCGGACUUUUGAGGGACACAGAAAUUACAAGAUGGGUAAUAGAAGAAGGAAGUGAAGAAUAAGUGCAGGAGAUGGGGGAGAGUGGCAGAUAUUACCUGCUUGCCUUUUCCUUUCACCCAGAAGAGGUGUUAGAGCAGUCGGAGGAAAUGGACAUACUUUGGAAGACAGAGACCUGGUAAUCCCUUUUCACCCAAGAAGAACCAAGCCCUGGAUGAAUGGAUGAGCAGCUCACGUUUUUCUGCCCCCCACCCCCAGUCUUUCUGAGACUGACUUUGUCCUAGGAAUUGUUCGUCCCUCUGGAAGCUAGUCUGGUAUGUGGAUGUUCCUUAGAGCCCUGGUGAUAGGGAAUUAGGAAGUAAGUGCUUGAACUGAAGCCCUUUUGUCCUAAUUCACUGGUAUCUGGGGCAAAAGCUUGCCCUCUCUGUGAAAAUGAAAUGAAAAUCUUUUCAUUUUCUGGGAGCUCAAGGUCAGACCCUGGCACAGUAGGGACCCAAUCCGUGGGCUGUUCCUGAACCCCUACCCCAGACCAUUGCCCUGGAUGGCUCUUGAAGCUGGUGGCAAGAGAGAACUGAGAGUUCUCUAAGGAAAAGAGCAGCCAGGUUGCUCCUUUGUUUUAAAUUAUUUAGCUGCACCAAAUUUUCAGAUUUGUGGCAACAACAACUCUAUUUAAAAACUCCAGGCACAUGAUGGAUGAGCUCAAUGUUUUCAGUCAGUUCCCAGCUUCCAGCCCACCCUACGGGAAUCUUCUAAGAGUUACUUGGGCUUGCCUGGGUCAGCCUCCAACUAUUGGGACCAGCUAAAGUGCAAGAGCUACACAAUGCCUAUCAUGAUAUUUGGCGUAUGUUUUUCAUAUAAAUGAAUUUCAUCAAGUCCCAUACACCACCUCCAAGAGAAAAAAGAUACUCAACUUAGGAAGUCAGAACUGGGAUGUUUGCAUAGAAGUCACGCUUUUUGUAUAGAUGGGUUGUGUGAGUUUAUUUCCAUGGACUUCUGCCUGUGAAAUAGGAAUUCAGAGACCUGGAGGGAGAAGACACAUGGACUGUCAGAUCUAGAGACCUGCUUCCUUCAAUAGCUGAUUUUCUUUCAUUUGUGUCAGAAACAGGCAGCAUGGCACAGAGCCAUGCACCUAAAACUUUAUUGUGCAUAUUUAUUCCUAGAGAUCUUGUUAAAAUGCAGAUUCAGAUUCAGCCAAUCUAGGGUCAGGGCUUUCUAUUGUAAUAAGUUCCAAGGUAAUGCCAAUGCUGCUGGUCCAUGGACUGCACACUUUGAUGAGAAGUUUAGUAAGGAUAUAGAGGAAAGAAUACUACACGUGUAGUAGUAAUUUCUGGCUUUUAGUAUCAGCUCUGCCAUUUACCAGCUUGCUUUCUUGGACAAGUCAUUUUUCCUCUCUGGAUUUUAGUUUCCUCAAAUAUAAGCUGGGUGAUAGAGGAGGAGGUUGGGUUAGGUUAUUUCAAAGCUUGCAUUCAUAGACUCUUCAAAGUGAUGUUUUGAUUAAAAAACUCCACCUAUAGGAUCACGUACAGCUUUUCAAAGGACUAGCAGGUGAACUGGCAUUAUCAAAGCAGAAAAUAUAGGGGCUGGAGCAGGAAGGCAUGGCAAAGUCAGAGAAAAGGAAGGUGAGCCAUAAUAACUUCUUAUGGCAAAUAUAACACUUUGAUUAUUUCAGAGUGAUGGAUUUUGAAUUAAAACUGUUAUCCUGAGAGAGGCUACUAUUUUUCCCAACAACUAUCUUAGGGGGAGACCUGCAUUACUGAAAACUGAGUUGCAUAAGAAACUUGAGUGAAGGAAGCAAUGGAUAUGUUAGUGCUUUGAAAUAAGCAAAUGCUUACAGGGGCUGUGAGGGAAUCAUGGCUGGAGGGAAGCUUUCUGGAGCCAUGAGGGAGUCUGAUUUGAAAACAGCAGUUCAUCUCUGCUGCAGACCAUUUAUCUAAUUUCAGACAAAUUGGCCAGAAAUUCAGGUAUUUGGCCACUGCUAGCAGAUGUAACAGGGAGAAAUGCAGUCUCCUACAAGGGUUAGGAGAGCAAGGUGCCAGGGGUCACCCAGGGGCAUAAAUAGGCAAGGAGAAGGAGGGGGUGAAAAAGGAACACAGAUGAUGUAAGUGAAUGAAUGAAGCUUCUGACCAUCUGAGCCUCUGGCGGCAGCCCUUCCCCAAGAGCUCACGCAUCUCUGUUUUGAGCAGGAAACAGGAUCAGACAGAAAGGGCUCCCCAGACUCACAGAUACAAGCUAGUUUCUCAUUAAGUCCCAAAGCAAAGUCAGGGGAGUGGAGAAAACUCCUGGUGCUGGCGCCUCUUCCAACGUUAGGUUGAGGAAUACAGGAGAUGUUUAC
RNAcentral lists this long non-coding RNA (2872 nucleotides) under Homo sapiens (human). RNAcentral describes it as "HSALNT0391687". Lineage: Eukaryota; Metazoa; Chordata; Mammalia; Primates; Hominidae. The record is from RNAcentral.